This 276-nucleotide long non-coding RNA is filed under the name Elaeis guineensis (African oil palm). Its description in RNAcentral is "long non-coding RNA (EGUI_LNC014953)". The record is from RNAcentral. Lineage: Eukaryota; Viridiplantae; Streptophyta; Magnoliopsida; Arecales; Arecaceae.
AUGGCCGUCAUUGCUUGCAGAGAGGAUCCGAUGGCUGACACUUGAUCUGGAUUGGAACUAGAGUUCAGAGGCGCGAUCUGAUGGCUCUGGAGUGAGCCGAUCGCAAUCGGACAGCCUAGAUCAAAUCUGGAGGUGAUCUGGACCCUGAUUGCAUGAUCGGAGGGCUCUGGUUCGAGCCGGUCACGAUCAGAUGGUCCAAAAGGAUUCUAAGAUUUAAUUUGAGUCUGAUAUCCUAGUGAAACACUGUUUUGGUGAUUUUAAAGUCUAUAUAGCUCC